AGUGAACGCUGGCGGUAGGCCUAACACAUGCAAGUCGAACGGCAGCACAGUAAGAGCUUGCUCUUACGGGUGGCGAGUGGCGGACGGGUGAGGAAUACAUCGGAAUCUACUUUUUCGUGGGGGAUAACGUAGGGAAACUUACGCUAAUACCGCAUACGACCUACGGGUGAAAGCAGGGGAUCUUCGGACCUUGCGCGAUUGAAUGAGCCGAUGUCGGACUAGCUAGUUGGCGGGGUAAAGGCCCACCAAGGCGACGAUCCGUAGCUGGUCUGAGAGGAUGAUCAGCCACACUGGAACUGAGACACGGUCCAGACUCCUACGGGAGGCAGCAGUGGGGAAUAUUGGACAAUGGGCGCAAGCCUGAUCCAGCCAUACCGCGUGGGUGAAGAAGGCCUUCGGGUUGUAAAGCCCUUUCGUUGGGAAAGAAAAGCAGCAGGUUAAUACCCCGCUGUUCUGACGGUACCCAAAGAAUAAGCACCGGCUAACUUCGUG
Molecule: ribosomal RNA, 492 nt
Filed under: uncultured bacterium
Lineage: Bacteria
Description: partial 16S ribosomal RNA
Rfam family: Bacterial small subunit ribosomal RNA
Source: RNAcentral